GGAAAAUAAUGGAAAAGAAAAAAAAGAAACUCAUACUGUAUGGCUAGCAACAAGCCCAAUAAGUCAAAUCAACCUAAACCCACAAAUUAAAUCCAUCCCCAUUAGGUUUAUACAAGGAAGAGCAUUAAAAGAAAGAAGCACACUGCCAACCACCACCAAAGAUGCUAAGUAGAGAUUGAAGCCCACAAAACCGUCCGCAACACAAGGAGCAACCAUAGUCACCCAUCAAAACACAACAACUCAACCAAAUAGCACUAACCUCCCAGCUUCUCAAUAGAAACACAAAGCUCAACUCUAAAAUGACAAGAGUGAGCUUUCAGGCACUCGUAAGCCAUCAGGGAGACCUUCCCAACUAUGGUAUAAAAGCGGAUCUUGGAGAUGCAAAACAACCAAAGUAAGUGAAGCCCUCUCAACUCGCAGAGCAAACCCUUAGAUCCAAGAGACCAAGCAUCAAAGAGAACAACCCACCAAACCAAAUAGAAACCCUCAGCCUAAAACCACCAUCUGCAACUCACAAAA
RNAcentral lists this unclassified non-coding RNA (519 nucleotides) under Hevea brasiliensis (rubber tree). Lineage: Eukaryota; Viridiplantae; Streptophyta; Magnoliopsida; Malpighiales; Euphorbiaceae. The record is from RNAcentral.